UGGAAGCUGGCAUCGCCCAAAGUACACUGACAAACUCUCACGAGCUGUCAUGUCCUAAGGCAAUGGUGGUAACUGGGAUG
This 80-nucleotide ribosomal RNA is filed under the name uncultured bacterium. Its description in RNAcentral is "partial 16S ribosomal RNA". The record is from RNAcentral.